Molecule: ribosomal RNA, 380 nt
Filed under: uncultured eukaryote
Lineage: Eukaryota
Description: SSU rRNA
Rfam family: Eukaryotic small subunit ribosomal RNA
Source: RNAcentral
AGCUCCAAUAGCGUAUAUUAAAGUUGUUGCGGUUAAAAGCUCGUAGUUGGAUUUCUGUCGAGGAUGGGUGGUCCGCUCUAUGAGCGUGUAUCUACUUCAGCCUUGGCAUCCUCCAGGGGAACGAUACUGUGCUUGAUUGCAUGGUUCGGAAUUCUGGACUUUUACUUUGAGGAAAUUAGAGUGUUUACGGCAGGCAAUCGCCUUGAAUAUAUUAGCAUGGAAUAAUAAUAUAGGACCUUGGUUCUAUUUUGUUGGUUUCUAGAACUAAGGUAAUGAUUAAUAGGGAUAAUUGGGGGCAUUCGUAUUAACACGUCAGAGGUGAAAUUCUUGGAUUGUGUUACGACGAACUACUGCGAAAGCAUUUGCCAAGGAUGUUUUCA